AUACGGAGGGUGCGAGCGUUAAUCGGAAUUACUGGGCGUAAAGCGUGCGUAGGCGGUUUGCUAAGUCAGAUGUGAAAGCCCCGGGCUUAACCUGGGAACUGCAUUUGAUACUGGCAGACUAGAGUAUGAUAGAGGGGGGUAGAAUUCCUGGUGUAGCGGUGAAAUGCGUAGAUAUCAGGAGGAAUACCAGUGGCGAAGGCGGCCCCCUGGAUCGAUACUGACGCUGAGGUACGAAAGCGUGGGGAGCGAACAGGAUUAGAAACCCUAGUAGUCC
This 274-nucleotide ribosomal RNA is filed under the name uncultured bacterium. RNAcentral's name for it is "partial 16S ribosomal RNA". It matches the Rfam family "Bacterial small subunit ribosomal RNA", at positions 523 to 796 of the family's 1533-position model. The record is from RNAcentral.